This 1224-nucleotide ribosomal RNA is filed under the name uncultured eukaryote. RNAcentral's name for it is "SSU rRNA". It matches the Rfam family "Eukaryotic small subunit ribosomal RNA", at positions 570 to 1831 of the family's 1831-position model. The record is from RNAcentral.
GAAUUCGCCCUUCGGUAAUUCCAGCUCCAAUAGCGUAUAUUAAAGUUGUUGCAGUUAAAAAGCUCGUAGUUGAAUUUCUGAUAGAAGGGAGCGGUUCCGCAUUCUUGCGGAUACUGGCUUGUCUUCCGUCAUCCUUGGGCUUAGUCUCGCUGAUAUUAACUUAUCGGCGUGUACGAUGCCCAUCGUUUACUGUGAGCAAAUUAGAGUGUUCAAAGCAGGCAUUUUGCCAUUGAAUAUAUUAGCAUGGAAUAAUAAGAUAGGAUUUCACGAUUUUAUUUUGUUGGUUUGCAUUGUGAAAUAAUGAUUAAGAGGGACAGUUGUGGGUAUUCGUAUUCAGAUGUCAGAGGUGAAAUUCUUAGAUUAUCGGAAGACGAACGACUGCGAAAGCAUUUACCAAGGAUGUUUUCAUUAAUCAAGGACGAAAGUAUGGGGAUCGAAGAUGAUUAGAUACCAUCGUAGUCUAUACCAUAAACUAUGCCGACUCAGGAUCGGCGGGUCAAUUUUUUUUGCUCGUCGGCACUGUAUGAGAAAUCAAAGUCUUUGGGUCCCGGGGGGAGUAUGGUCGCAAGGCUGGAACUUAAAGAAAUUGACGGAAGGGCACCACCAGGAGUGGAACCUGCGGCUUAAUUUGACUCAACACGGGAAAACUUAUCAGGCCCAGACAUAAUGAGGAUUGACAGAUUGAGAGCUCUUUCUUGAUUUUAUGGGUGGUGGUGCAUGGCCGUUCUUAGUUGGUGGAGUGAUUUGUCUGGUUAAUUCCGUUAACGAACGAGGCCCCAGCUUGCUAAAUAAUCACGCGAAUGAUUCUUCAUUGGCGAUGGUUUCUUAGAGGGACAUGUUCGAACAACGAACAGGAGGAUUGGGGCAAUAACAGGUCUGUGAUGCCCUUAGAUGUUCUGAACCGCACGCGUGUUACACUGAUGCAUUCAACGAGCUAUUAACCUUGGCCGAGAGGCCUGGGAAAUCUUGGAACGUGCAUCGUGAUAGGGAUUGAUUAUUGCAAUUUUUAAUCAUGAACGAGGAAUUCCUAGUAAACGCAGAUCAUCAAUCUGCAUUGAUUACGUCCCUGCCCUUUGUACACACCGCCCGUCGCACCUACCGAUUGAGUGACUCGAUGAAGGCUCGGGAUUGUGGUUAUUGCUUUCAUUAGGAAUUACUGCGAGAACUUGUCUGAAUCUCGCCACUUAGAGGAAGGUGAAGUCGUAACAAGGUAAGGGCGAAUUC